Non-coding RNA from Pleuronectes platessa (European plaice), 73 nucleotides. The record is from the annotation of a RefSeq genome assembly. NCBI's taxonomy places the organism in Eukaryota, Metazoa, Chordata, Actinopteri, Pleuronectiformes, Pleuronectidae.
GGUAGUGUGGCCGAGUGGUCUAAGGCGCUUGAUUUAGGCUCAGGAGGCGUGGGUUCAAAUCCCACCACUGCCA